Molecule: ribosomal RNA, 253 nt
Filed under: uncultured bacterium
Lineage: Bacteria
Description: partial 16S ribosomal RNA
Rfam family: Bacterial small subunit ribosomal RNA
Source: RNAcentral
UACGGGGGGGGCAAGCGUUGUUCGGAAUUACUGGGCGUAAAGGGCUCGUAGGUGGCCAACUAAGUCAUGCGUGAAAUCCCUCGGCUUAACCGGGGAACUGCGUCUGAUACUGGAUGGCUAGAGGUUGGGAGAGGGAUGCGGAAUUCCAGGUGUAGCGGUGAAAUGCGUAGAUAUCUGGAGGAACACCGGUGGCGAAGGCGGCAUCCUGGACCAAUUCUGACGCUGAGGAGCGAAAGCCAGGGGAGCAAACGGG